This 1245-nucleotide long non-coding RNA is filed under the name Malus domestica (apple). RNAcentral describes it as "long non-coding RNA (MDOM_LNC008593)". Lineage: Eukaryota; Viridiplantae; Streptophyta; Magnoliopsida; Rosales; Rosaceae. The record is from RNAcentral.
UUUGCAUGCAUGAAUUUGAUGCUAGAGUAUAAGGGAAUUUCACCUAAUCGUUAUUAACUUAUAUUCUUAAGUAGUAAAAGUCGCUAGUCACGAUUGUGUUAAGUAAAUCAUUGGCAAGAGUAACAUGCGUAUUCCAUAGUUAUGAAUGCCUCGUCAAUGCUUAUGAUUUCCAUUGAACUUAAUGAUCUUUGAUAUGUGUCUCUAUCAUGCGUAUUCCAUAGUUAGGGUCCUUGAUAAGAAUAAUUUGGUUGUAAUGCGUAUUCCAUUCAAUUCAAUGAAUUUAGGGAAAUCUGAGAAUUAAUUGGUGCAAUCUAGUUAAUUUGGGGCAUUGUCAUUCAUGGUUUGUUGAAAAAUUAACUGGAAAUCGAGUCGUAUGCAUAUGUUUCAUGUGUGGAGAAGGAACCCUCUAACUAGCCUUUCACCAUUCUAUUUCAUCAAUUUCGUGAGUCUUUAAGUUUGUUUACAAAGUUAUGUUUUAAAAGUUCAAAUUCGUCAAAACCAAACCCCUUGCUUUUAAGUCUUGUUUUUAGAGUCAAAACCUGUUUUCUUUUGAUCUUUUGAGUCUUUGAAGUUCUAUUUUCGUCCAAAUCACUUGUUAGGUCUAGAAUUGAGUCUUUUUUAUUGUUAUUUGCUGUUUUGAGUGUUUUAAGUUAGUUUUGAGUUUAUAAAGUCUAGUUUAGUGUUUUUUAUCUUAUAUUUGUUGAUUAGCAUCCCUAGUUAAUCCCCGGUCUAGAACGAUCCCUACUUGCAUCAUUACUACAAUUGUCAUCAAUAGGGUUUAAUUUGUGUGUCAACUUAAUUUUCACAUCAACAACCUCGCCGAGUUCUUAUUCAACAAUGUUGGCUCGUUGUUGAAUUAACCCAAUAAGUCCAUGGUCAUCCAAAGAGCCUAAGAUAACUAUAAAGUCCAAUUUCAAAGGAAUGAAAAAACCAUAGUAGUAGUAGUUACUUCCAAUAUUUGAAAAAAUAGUUUUGAUAUUGAUUUGUUUUUCUCAAAACAAAUAGUGGGAGUAUCAUAUGCUACUAAACCAUAAUGAACUCAAUUAGUAGUUAUAUAUAUCUCCAAUAUUUUGAAAAAUGUUUUGAUAUUGAUUUGUUUUAUGAAAACGAAUAGUGGGGAUAUCAUAUGCUACUAAUUUCAUUAACUCUGGACUAGUAGUUAUAAUAGGACACAAUUUAUUUGAAUGUGAUUAAAUAAAUAAAAUUGAUGAGACCUUAAAAUCCCUCAACCAACAUACAAUAUUA